RNAcentral lists this ribosomal RNA (1464 nucleotides) under uncultured rumen bacterium. RNAcentral describes it as "bacterial SSU rRNA". It matches the Rfam family "Bacterial small subunit ribosomal RNA". The record is from RNAcentral.
GAGUUUGAUCCUGGCUCAGAACGAACGCUGGCGGCGUGCCUUAUACAUGCAAGUCGAGCGAGGGCGCAGCAAUGCGAACCGAGCGGCGAACGGGUGAGUAACGCGUGAACAACCUGCCCCAAAGUCCGGGAUAGCCCUUCCAACGGAGGAUUAAUACCGGAUGGCGAGGGUUCCCGCAUGGGAGCCUAUCCAAAGUCUUGGCGCUAUGGGAGGGGUUCGCGUCUGAUUAGCUAGUUGGCGGGGCAACGGCCCACCAAGGCGACGAUCGGUAGCCGGCCUGAGAGGGCGAACGGCCACAAUGGGACUGAGAUACGGCCCAUACUCCUACGGGAGGCAGCAGUAGGGAAUAUUGCGCAAUGGACGGAAGUCUGACGCAGCAACGCCACGUGUGGGACGAAGCCUUUCGGGGUGUAAACCACUGUCAGCGGGGACUAGUAAGCGGGGCAACCCGUCGCGAAUGUACCCGCAGAGGAAGCACCGGCAAACUUCGUGCCAGCAGCCGCGGUAACACGAGGGGUGCGAGCGUUGUUCGGAAUCACUGGGCGUAAAGGGAGCGUAGGCGGAACGCCAAGCCGGAAGUCUAAUGCCGGGGCCCAACCCCGGCGCCGCUUUCGGAACUGGCGUCCUUGAGUGUGCGAAGGGUCGGCGGAAUUCCUGGUGUAGCGGUGGAAUGCGUAGAUAUCAGGAAGGACACCGGUGGCGAAGGCGGCCGACUGGCGCGACACUGACGCUGAGGCUCGAAAGCGUGGGGAGCGAACAGGAUUAGAUACCCUGGUAGUCCACGCCGUAAACGAUGUCUGCUGGGCGCUUGGGAGCGAUCCUGGGUGCCGUAGCCAACGCGAUAAGCAGACCGCCUGGGGAGUACGCCCGCAAGGGUGAAACUCAAAGGAAUUGACGGGGGCCCGCACAAGCGGUGGAGCAUGUGGUUUAAUUCGACGCAACGCGAGGAACCUUACCAGGGCUUGACAUGGAAUCGCCGCGGCGGGAGACCGCCGUUUGCCGCAAGGCACGGUUCACACAGGUGCUGCAUGGCUGUCGUCAGCUCGUGCCGUGAGGUGUUGGGUUAAGUAAAAGCAACGAGCGCAACCCCCACCCCCAGUUGCCAUCCGCAAGGAGGCUCUCCGGGGGGACCGCCGCGGACAACGCGGAGGAAGGCGGGGACGACGUCAAGUCAUCAUGGCCCUUACGUCCUGGGCUACACACGUGCUACAAUGGUCGGCACAAUGGGCAGCGAAGGGGCGACCCGGAGCCAAUCCUCAAAGCCGGCCUCAGUUCGGAUUGGAGUCUGCAACCCGACUCCAUGAAGCUGGAAUCGCUAGUAAUCGCGGAUCAGAACGCCGCGGUGAAUACGUUCCCGGGCCUUGUACACACCGCCCGUCAAGCCAUGGAAGGGGAGAGCGCCCGAAGCCGCGCGAGCGUCUAAGGCGAGAUCCCUGACUGGGGCUAAGUCGUAACAAGGUAACC